This 253-nucleotide ribosomal RNA is filed under the name uncultured bacterium. Its description in RNAcentral is "partial 16S ribosomal RNA". It matches the Rfam family "Bacterial small subunit ribosomal RNA", at positions 524 to 776 of the family's 1533-position model. The record is from RNAcentral.
UACAGGGGGGGCAAGCGUUGUUCGGAAUUACUGGGCGUAAAGGGCUCGUAGGCGGCCAACUAAGUCAUACGUGAAAUCCCUCAGCUUAACUGGGGAACUGCGUGUGAUACUGGAUGGCUUGGAUUUGGGAGAGGGAUGCGGAAUUCCAGGUGUAGCGGUGAAAUGCGUAGAUAUCUGGAGGAACACCGGUGGCGAAGGCGGCAUCCUGGACCAAUAUUGACGCUGAGGAGCGAAAGCCAGGGGAGCAAACGGG